GACGAACGCUGGCGGCGUGCUUAACACAUGCAAGUCGAACGGAAAGGCCCCAGCUUGCUGGGGUCCUCGAGUGGCGCACGGGUGAGUAUAACGUGUGUGAUCUGCCCUGCACUCUGGGGUAAGCCUUGGAAACUCGGUCUCAUACCGGAUAGGACCGCGCUAUACACUGUGCGGUGGAAUGAACGUCGGUGCAGGAUGAGCCCGCGGCCUAGCAGCUUGUUGUUGGGGUGAUGGCCUACCAAGGCGGGGACGAGUAGCCGGCCUGAGAGGGUGUACGGCCACAUUGGGACUGAGGCGCGGCCCAGACUGCAACGGGAGGAAGCGGUGAGGAAUAGUGCAAGAUGGGCGGAAGCCGGAUGGAGCGACGCCGCGUGGGGGAUCACGGCCGUCGGGUUGGAAACCUCUUGCGGCAGGGACGAAGCUUUAGUGACGGUAACUGCACAAGAAGCAACGGCUAACUACGUG
This 465-nucleotide ribosomal RNA is filed under the name uncultured bacterium. Its description in RNAcentral is "partial 16S ribosomal RNA". It matches the Rfam family "Bacterial small subunit ribosomal RNA", at positions 28 to 507 of the family's 1533-position model. The record is from RNAcentral.